Molecule: long non-coding RNA, 1546 nt
Organism: Dama dama (fallow deer)
Lineage: Eukaryota; Metazoa; Chordata; Mammalia; Artiodactyla; Cervidae
Exons: 3
Source: RefSeq, a predicted model, not a curated record
GGGCCUCCCAUCCACCACUUCCUGUUGUCGGCCUAAAACCGCGCCUGCGCACUUCCCAUCUUCCUCUUAGGCUCGGAUCUAGGUUGAGUUAACAUGGCGAAACGCACCAAGAAGGUCGGAAUCGUGGGCAAAUACGGGACCCGUUAUGGUGCCUCCCUCAGGAAAAUGGUGAAGAAAAUUGAAAUCAGCCAGCACGCCAAGUAUACCUGCUCUUUCUGUGGCAAAACCAAGAUGAAGAGAAGAGCUGUGGGCAUUUGGCACUGUGGUUCCUGCAUGAAAACAGUAGCUGGUGGUGCCUGGACCUACAAGUGAGUCCAUUUCUUUAAGGUGUUUGAAAGUGUGUGGGCCAUGUCAAAAUUCAGGUCUCUCGCUGGAUGGGCUAAUUUUAACAGAUCUGCUAGUUCGGCUGACUAAUGAACAUCGCUUGUAUGGCAGGCUGUUUUUGUAAAAAUUAAGAAGUCAGCUUAUUGCUGUACAUAAUGAGGCCAUCUGGCCAACACACCUUUGCUAUUCUAAACAGUAUUGGUUGUGCUUCUUCAGCUUUGUGACUCACAGUGGCCAAGUGAUAAUUGCAGACGUACCUACUGUGUUGGUUAUUGAUUAUAUUGGACUUUAUCCAAUUCUGGAAAUUCAAGCCAUCCUUGAAGGCCUCUAACCUGGAGAUUCAUUGCUGAACCUGAAGGCUGACAUGGUUUCCCUUUAACCAGUUUGUAAACUCGUGCUGUCCAGUACAUUAGUCACAUAGUAAAAUGAUUUGGCUAGUGUAUUGAAAUUUUUGGUUUUUGUUAAAGUUGAAACAGUGUAAAAUACUGGAAAAUGUUGAAAUGAUAAUGUGGACAUGUAUAUAUAUAUAUAAAAGCACCUUGUUGGGGUUCUGUGUGGGGAAAAUGGAGAGUGCUCUUGUUUGUGAUGAAUAAAUGAAUUAGCUUUGAUCUACCACAUGAGAUGGAGUGGUUAUGUUUUUCAGGUACAGUGCCUGAGUGUUGUAGUAAAACAUUGUUUUGUCACUUCCACAGUGUGCUUUAGUCAGCUCUGCCGUCUUAGACAUUGUUUUCUUGCUAUCUCUCAUUGUAGCAUCUUGUAAUUUAUUAGUUAGUUCUGACAUUCUGUCCAUUCCUUUUUAAUGAGUUUAGGCAGCCUCUCCCAAUCUUUCCUUCCUGUUAAUUUCAUGCUCCACUAUCUGUGAGAAGUCAGAUGUAUGGGAUUGCCAGUAGAUGUCAUCGUUAGGAUUGUAAUGUAAAAAUGAGGCAUAUUCUCAUUUGCCAUUCUGCAUGUUAACUAGUUUUGGAACCAAAUUUGUUUUUCUUUACAGCACCACUUCUGCUGUCACAGUAAAGUCUGCCAUCAGAAGACUGAAGGAAUUGAAGGACCAGUAGAAGCACCACCAUUUGAUAAUGUUGCUAGCCUAUAAUAAAUGGGUUAAUUUAUGUAACAAAAUUACUUUGGCUUGUUAAUUUUAUUGGUUAGACAUUCUUAUUUGCAUUGCAUUAUUUUUGCUUUCUAAAAUAAGGACUUAAUUAAAAUCCUUUAAAUUUUUCUUGGGAAA